This 504-nucleotide ribosomal RNA is filed under the name uncultured bacterium. Its description in RNAcentral is "partial 16S ribosomal RNA". It matches the Rfam family "Bacterial small subunit ribosomal RNA", at positions 29 to 523 of the family's 1533-position model. The record is from RNAcentral.
AUUGAACGCUGGCGGCAGGCCUAACACAUGCAAGUCGAGCGGUAACACAGGGAGCUUGCUCCUGGGUGACGAGCGGCGGACGGGUGAGUAAUGUCUGGGAAACUGCCUGAUGGAGGGGGAUAACUACUGGAAACGGUAGCUAAUACCGCAUAACGUCGCAGGACCAAAGAGGGGGACCUUCGGGCCUCUUGCCAUCAGAUGUGCCCGGAUGGGAUUAGCUAGUAGGUGGGGUAACGGCUCACCUAGGCGACGAUCCCUAGCUGGUCUGAGAGGAUGACCCGCCACACUGGAACUGAGACACGGUCCAGACUCCGACGGGAGGCAGCAGUGGGGAAUAUUGCACAAUGGGCGCAAGCCUGAUGCAGCCAUGCCGCGUGUAUGAAGAAGGCCUUCGGGUUGUAAAGUACUUUCAGCGGGGAGGAAGGCGUUGUGGUUAAUAACCACAGCGAUUGACGUUACCCGCAGAAGAAGCACCGGCUAACUCCGUGCCAGCCGCCGCGGUAA